Molecule: small RNA, 127 nt
Filed under: Marmota monax (woodchuck)
Lineage: Eukaryota; Metazoa; Chordata; Mammalia; Rodentia; Sciuridae
Source: RNAcentral
GCCGGGCGCGGUGGCUCCUGCCUGUAAUUCCAGCUGCUCAGGAGGCUGAGGCAGGAGGAUCACAAGUUCAAAGCCAGCCUCAGUAAUUUAGCAAGAUCCUAAGCAACUCAGUGAGACUGUGUCUCUA